This 2903-nucleotide ribosomal RNA is filed under the name Escherichia coli K02. RNAcentral's name for it is "bacterial LSU rRNA". It matches the Rfam family "Bacterial large subunit ribosomal RNA". Lineage: Bacteria; Pseudomonadati; Pseudomonadota; Gammaproteobacteria; Enterobacterales; Enterobacteriaceae. The record is from RNAcentral.
UUAAGCGACUAAGCGUACACGGUGGAUGCCCUGGCAGUCAGAGGCGAUGAAGGACGUGCUAAUCUGCGAUAAGCGUCGGUGAGGUGAUAUGAACCGUUAUAACCGGCGAUUUCCGAAUGGGGAAACCCAGUGUGUUUCGACACACUAUCAUUAACUGAAUCCAUAGGUUAAUGAGGCGAACCGGGGGAACUGAAACAUCUAAGUACCCCGAGGAAAAGAAAUCAACCGAGAUUCCCCCAGUAGCGGCGAGCGAACGGGGAGGAGCCCAGAGCCUGAAUCAGUGUGUGUGUUAGUGGAAGCGUCUGGAAAGGCGCGCGAUACAGGGUGACAGCCCCGUACACAAAAAUGCACAUGCUGUGAGCUCGAUGAGUAGGGCGGGACACGUGGUAUCCUGUCUGAAUAUGGGGGGACCAUCCUCCAAGGCUAAAUACUCCUGACUGACCGAUAGUGAACCAGUACCGUGAGGGAAAGGCGAAAAGAACCCCGGCGAGGGGAGUGAAAAAGAACCUGAAACCGUGUACGUACAAGCAGUGGGAGCCUCUUAAUGGGGUGACUGCGUACCUUUUGUAUAAUGGGUCAGCGACUUAUAUUCUGUAGCAAGGUUAACCGAAUAGGGGAGCCGAAGGGAAACCGAGUCUUAACUGGGCGUUAAGUUGCAGGGUAUAGACCCGAAACCCGGUGAUCUAGCCAUGGGCAGGUUGAAGGUUGGGUAACACUAACUGGAGGACCGAACCGACUAAUGUUGAAAAAUUAGCGGAUGACUUGUGGCUGGGGGGGAAAGGCCAAUCAAACCGGGAGAUAGCUGGUUCUCCCCGAAAGCUAUUUAGGUAGCGCCUCGUGAAUUCAUCUCCGGGGGUAGAGCACUGUUUCGGCAAGGGGGUCAUCCCGACUUACCAACCCGAUGCAAACUGCGAAUACCGGAGAAUGUUAUCACGGGAGACACACGGCGGGUGCUAACGUCCGUCGUGAAGAGGGAAACAACCCAGACCGCCAGCUAAGGUCCCAAAGUCAUGGUUAAGUGGGAAACGAUGUGGGAAGGCCCAGACAGCCAGGAUGUUGGCUUAGAAGCAGCCAUCAUUUAAAGAAAGCGUAAUAGCUCACUGGUCGAGUCGGCCUGCGCGGAAGAUGUAACGGGGCUAAACCAUGCACCGAAGCUGCGGCAGCGACGCUUAUGCGUUGUUGGGUAGGGGAGCGUUCUGUAAGCCUGUGAAGGUGUGCUGUGAGGCAUGCUGGAGGUAUCAGAAGUGCGAAUGCUGACAUAAGUAACGAUAAAGCGGGUGAAAAGCCCGCUCGCCGGAAGACCAAGGGUUCCUGUCCAACGUUAAUCGGGGCAGGGUGAGUCGACCCCUAAGGCGAGGCCGAAAGGCGUAGUCGAUGGGAAACAGGUUAAUAUUCCUGUACUUGGUGUUACUGCGAAGGGGGGACGGAGAAGGCUAUGUUGGCCGGGCGACGGUUGUCCCGGUUUAAGCGUGUAGGCUGGUUUUCCAGGCAAAUCCGGAAAACCAAGGCUGAGGCGUGAUGACGAGGCACUACGGUGCUGAAGCGACAAAUGCCCUGCUUCCAGGAAAAGCCUCUAAGCAUCAGGUAACAUCAAAUCGUACCCCAAACCGACACAGGUGGUCAGGUAGAGAAUACCAAGGCGCUUGAGAGAACUCGGGUGAAGGAACUAGGCAAAAUGGUGCCGUAACUUCGGGAGAAGGCACGCUGAUAUGUAGGUGAAGCGACUUGCUCGUGGAGCUGAAAUCAGUCGAAGAUACCAGCUGGCUGCAACUGUUUAUUAAAAACACAGCACUGUGCAAACACGAAAGUGGACGUAUACGGUGUGACGCCUGCCCGGUGCCGGAAGGUUAAUUGAUGGGGUUAGCGGUAACGCGAAGCUCUUGAUCGAAGCCCCGGUAAACGGCGGCCGUAACUAUAACGGUCCUAAGGUAGCGAAAUUCCUUGUCGGGUAAGUUCCGACCUGCACGAAUGGCGUAAUGAUGGCCAGGCUGUCUCCACCCGAGACUCAGUGAAAUUGAACUCGCUGUGAAGAUGCAGUGUACCCGCGGCAAGACGGAAAGACCCCGUGAACCUUUACUAUAGCUUGACACUGAACAUUGAGCCUUGAUGUGUAGGAUAGGUGGGAGGCUUUGAAGUGUGGACGCCAGUCUGCAUGGAGCCGACCUUGAAAUACCACCCUUUAAUGUUUGAUGUUCUAACGUUGGCCCGUAAUCCGGGUUGCGGACAGUGUCUGGUGGGUAGUUUGACUGGGGCGGUCUCCUCCUAAAGAGUAACGGAGGAGCACGAAGGUUGGCUAAUCCUGGUCGGACAUCAGGAGGUUAGUGCAAUGGCAUAAGCCAGCUUGACUGCGAGCGUGACGGCGCGAGCAGGUGCGAAAGCAGGUCAUAGUGAUCCGGUGGUUCUGAAUGGAAGGGCCAUCGCUCAACGGAUAAAAGGUACUCCGGGGAUAACAGGCUGAUACCGCCCAAGAGUUCAUAUCGACGGCGGUGUUUGGCACCUCGAUGUCGGCUCAUCACAUCCUGGGGCUGAAGUAGGUCCCAAGGGUAUGGCUGUUCGCCAUUUAAAGUGGUACGCGAGCUGGGUUUAGAACGUCGUGAGACAGUUCGGUCCCUAUCUGCCGUGGGCGCUGGAGAACUGAGGGGGGCUGCUCCUAGUACGAGAGGACCGGAGUGGACGCAUCACUGGUGUUCGGGUUGUCAUGCCAAUGGCACUGCCCGGUAGCUAAAUGCGGAAGAGAUAAGUGCUGAAAGCAUCUAAGCACGAAACUUGCCCCGAGAUGAGUUCUCCCUGAGACUUAGAGUCUCCUGAAGGAACGUUGAAGACGACGACGUUGAUAGGCCGGGUGUGUAAGCGCAGCGAUGCGUUGAGCUAACCGGUACUAAUGAACCGUGAGGCUUAACCUU